UAUUCCUCUUUUUCUAAUAAAUUUUUUUUAAAGGUAAUUUUAAAUCUAACUAUCUAAAAUUUUAAAAUAUAACAGCGGUCCUGAAGAAAUCUAAAAUAUCACUCUUUUUUUUUUCUAAACUUCUAAAACAAUCAGUAAUAUCACUCUAAACCCCAAAUCAUAAGCCCUUCAAUAUAUAUAUAUAUAUAUAGGUUUGAGCUAGAAUAUUAUUGAUAGGAAACCGUCAUUUUUGCUAUCAAGUUUUGUUAAAAUUUAGUUGAUUUGAACUCUUCUAUACCGUUAAACGAGCAAACACACCAUAUCGGCCUUUAAAAUUAUAGAUUUUGUGACCCUUUGAUCGUUCAAUUAGUGAUGCCAAAAAAUCUUGAAAUUUGAUUUCUAGAUAAUUUAAAUAGUUUAGAUCAUAUUCAACGGUGCCGAUUGUCGACUUGGAAGCUCUAUCAUAAAAAAUAAAUCGGUAGUAAACCGAGCAGUUUACUACCGAUAGUAAUCCAGUCAAACUCUAUAUAUAUAAGGGCGCAAAUAAUAAUUUCUAAUUUUGAACUGCAUCUAUAACAUUACACUCUUUUCC
Molecule: long non-coding RNA, 571 nt
Filed under: Ananas comosus (pineapple)
Lineage: Eukaryota; Viridiplantae; Streptophyta; Magnoliopsida; Poales; Bromeliaceae
Description: long non-coding RNA (ACOM_LNC033739)
Source: RNAcentral